GUUUUAAUAGUUUAAGAAAAACAUUGGUCUUGUAAACCAAAAUUGAAAUUAUUCUUAAAACU
RNAcentral lists this transfer RNA (62 nucleotides) under Vietnamella dabieshanensis. RNAcentral's name for it is "tRNA-Thr". It matches the Rfam family "tRNA". From Rfam's summary of the family: Transfer RNA (tRNA) molecules are approximately 80 nucleotides in length. Their secondary structure includes four short double-helical elements and three loops (D, anti-codon, and T loops). RNAcentral also lists the same sequence under 1 other name. The record is from RNAcentral. Lineage: Eukaryota; Metazoa; Arthropoda; Insecta; Ephemeroptera; Ephemerellidae.